UGUCGUGGGCGUAGGAUAUUUGAGAGGAGCUGACCUUAGUACGAGAGGACCGGGUCGGACGUACCUCCGGUGCACCGGUUGUUCUGCCAAGGGCAUAGCCGGAUAGCCGCGUACGGAAGUGAUAAACGCUGAAGGCAUCUAAGCGUGAAACAUGCUUCAAGAUUAGAUAUCCCACAACUUAAGUUGGUAAGGUCACUUGUAGACUACAAGUUUGAUAGGUCAGAGGUGUACGCACAGUAAUGUGUUUAGCUGACUGAUACUAAUUGACCGAGGGCUUGAACUU
RNAcentral lists this ribosomal RNA (283 nucleotides) under Clostridia bacterium. Its description in RNAcentral is "partial 23S ribosomal RNA". It matches the Rfam family "Bacterial large subunit ribosomal RNA", at positions 2643 to 2925 of the family's 2925-position model. Lineage: Bacteria; Bacillati; Bacillota; Clostridia. The record is from RNAcentral.